GCUUGUCUCAAAGAUUAAGCCAUGCAUGUCUAAGUGUAAAUACGUCUACACUGUGAAACUGCGAAUGGCUCAUUAAAUCAGUUAUAGUUUAUUUGAUGGUUCAUACUACUUGGAUAACCGUAGUAAUUCUAGAGCUAAUACAUGCGUCAAAACCCGACUCCUGGGAGGGUUGUAUUUAUUAGAUGGAAACCAAUGCGGGGCAACCCGGUAUAUGGUGAUUCAUAAUAACUUUCGGAUCGAUCUUCGGAUCGAUGCAUCAUUCAAGUUUCUGCCCUAUCAGCUUUGGAUGGUAGGGUAUUGGCCUACCAUGGCUUUAACGGGUAACGGAGAAUUAGGGUUCGAUUCCGGAGAGGGAGCCUGAGAAAUGGCUACCACAUCCAAGGAAGGCAGCAGG
This 394-nucleotide ribosomal RNA is filed under the name Uroglenopsis americana. Its description in RNAcentral is "partial small subunit ribosomal RNA". It matches the Rfam family "Eukaryotic small subunit ribosomal RNA", at positions 30 to 432 of the family's 1831-position model. Lineage: Eukaryota; Chrysophyceae; Chromulinales; Chromulinaceae. The record is from RNAcentral.